UAUGAGAUGCCAGAAGAAUGGAAUACUUUGAUAAAGUAUAUAUGAGUGUAAUACUUUCUCAUAU
This 64-nucleotide transfer RNA is filed under the name Pyura mirabilis. RNAcentral's name for it is "tRNA-Ile". Lineage: Eukaryota; Metazoa; Chordata; Ascidiacea; Stolidobranchia; Pyuridae. The record is from RNAcentral.